Molecule: ribosomal RNA, 433 nt
Filed under: uncultured bacterium
Lineage: Bacteria
Description: partial 16S ribosomal RNA
Rfam family: Bacterial small subunit ribosomal RNA
Source: RNAcentral
AACGAACGCUGGCGGCAUGCCUAACACAUGCAAGUCGAACGAGACCUUCGUGUCUAGUGGCGCACGGGUGCGUAACGCGUGGGAACCUGCCCUUAGGUUCGGAAUAACUCCCCGAAAGGGGUGCUAAUACCGGAUAAUGUCUUCGGACCAAAGAUUUAUCGCCUUUGGAUGGGCCCGCGUUGGAUUAGCUAGUUGGUAGGGUAAAAGCCUACCAAGGCGACGAUCCAUAGCUGGUCUGAGAGGAUGAUCAGCCACACUGGGACUGAGACACGGCCCAGACUCCUACGCGAGGGAGGAGUGGGGAAUAUUGGACAAGGGGGGAAAGCCUGAUCAAGCAAUGCCGGGUGAGUGAUGCAGGCCGUAGGGUAGUAAAGCUCUUUUACACGGGACGAUAAUGACAGUACCGGGAGAAUAAGCACCGGCUAACUACGUG